This 420-nucleotide long non-coding RNA is filed under the name Toxoplasma gondii VEG. The record is from RNAcentral. Lineage: Eukaryota; Apicomplexa; Conoidasida; Eucoccidiorida; Sarcocystidae.
GCAAGAUCCGACUGCAUGCAAAAGCUGCAGGUCACCGUGCUAGCGAUGGUGUGUGGGGGGUUGGUGGGGACCAUGCCAGUAAUGCGAUGUCGCUGCGAAUGCUUUAUGCUAUUGAAGAUCACGAUGAUUACUGCAAUAAGGGCUAACGUUGUCGGUCAUGCCAGUGGUGUGACUGAAAUGGCCGUUCACACAGACUGUGCUGUGUUGGCGUCUCGUGUUUCAGCACAUACCUGCUGAGGUUCCCGUGGUGUCGGGACAACGAAUAUCGUACAAAGCAUCACUUCGUCUUACGGAGACUCGAAUUUUCGUGUACACGCAGAGAACUCCAAGUCCAACAUUAGUACUGACUGCUAGUACGCUAGCAUGCGUGUUACUAUAAUCUGCAUAGCGAUCCAGGCUCCUCUUGAGGAGUGACUCGAC